CAAAUGAAGAGUUUGAUCCUGGCUCAGGAUGAACGCUGGCGGCGUGCCUAAUACAUGCAAGUCGAACGCUGGAGAUCUAGCUUGCUAGAUCGAAGGAGUGGCGAACGGGUGAGUAAUACAUAAGCAACCUACCCACGAAGACUGGGAUAAUCUCUGGAAACGGGGACUAAUACCGGAUAGGUAAUCGGAAGGCAUCUUCUGGUUAUUAAAGGUUAAAAACACUGGUGGAUGGGCUUAUGGCGCAUUAGUUAGUUGGUGAGGUAACGGCCCACCAAGACGAUGAUGCGUAGCCGGCCUGAGAGGGUGAACGGCCACAUUGGGACUGAGACACGGCCCAGACUCCUACGGGAGGCAGCAGUAGGGAAUUUUCGGCAAUGGGGGCAACCCUGACCGAGCAACGCCGCGUGAGUGAAGACGGCCUUCGGGUUGUAAAGCUCUGUUGUAAGGGAAGAACGGUAGAUAGAGAAUAUCUAAGUGACGGUACCUUACCAGAAAGCCACGGCUAACUACGUGCCAGCAGCCGCGGUAAUACGUAGGUGGCGAGCGUUAUCCGGAAUUAUUGGGCGUAAAGGGUGCGUAGGCGGCCUGUUAAGUAAGUGGUUAAAUUGUUGGGCUCAACCCAAUCCAGCCACUUAAACUGGCAGGCUAGAGUAUUGGAGAGGCAAGUGGAAUUCCAUGUGUAGCGGUAAAAUGCGUAGAUAUAUGGAGGAACACCAGUGGCGAAGGCGGCUUGCUAGCCAAAGACUGACGCUCAUGCACGAAAGCGUGGGGAGCAAAUAGGAUUAGAUACCCUAGUAGUCCACGCCGUAAACGAUGAAUACUAAGUAUUGGGGAAACUCAGUGCUGCAGCUAACGCAAUAAGUAUUCCGCCUGUGGAGUAUGCACGCAAGUGUGAAACAUAAAGGAAUUGACGGGGGCCCGCACAAGCGGUGGAGUAUGUGGUUUAAUUCGACGCAACGCGAAGAACCUUACCAGGCCUUGACAUCCCUUGCAAAGCUGUAGAGAUACAGUAGAGGUUAUCAAGGAGACAGGUGGUGCAUGGUUGUCGUCAGCUCGUGUCGUGAGAUGUUGGGUUAAGUCCCGCAACGAGCGCAACCCUUGCCUUCAGUUACCAGCAUUCAGUUGGGGACUCUGGAGGGACUGCCGGUGAUAAACCGGAGGAAGGUGGGGAUGACGUCAAAUCAUCAUGCCCCUUAUGGCCUGGGCUACACACGUACUACAAUGGCUGUUACAACGUGCAGCGACCUAGCGAUAGGAAGCGAAUCACUAAAAGACAGUCUCAGUUCGGAUUGAAGUCUGCAACUCGACUUCAUGAAGCUGGAAUCGCUAGUAAUCGCGGAUCAGAAUGCCGCGGUGAAUACGUUCUCGGGCCUUGUACACACCGCCCGUCAUACCAUGAGAGCUGGUAAUACCCGAAGCCGGUGGCCUAACCGCAAGGAAGGAGCCGUCGAAGGUAGGACUAGUGAUUGGGGUCAAGUCGUAACAAGGUAUCCCUACGAGAACGUGGGGAUGGAUCACCUCCUUUCUAAGGA
This 1532-nucleotide ribosomal RNA is filed under the name Solobacterium moorei. RNAcentral describes it as "bacterial SSU rRNA". It matches the Rfam family "Bacterial small subunit ribosomal RNA". The record is from RNAcentral. Lineage: Bacteria; Bacillati; Bacillota; Erysipelotrichia; Erysipelotrichales; Erysipelotrichaceae.